CCUACGGGAGGCAGCAGUGGGGGAUAUUGCACAAUGGGGGGAACCCUGAUGCAGCGACGCCGCGUGGGUGAAGGAGUGCUUCGGCAUGUAAAGCCCUAUCGGCAGGGAAGAAGCAAGACGGUACCUGACUAAGAAGCCCCGGCUAACUACGUGCCAGCAGCCGCGGUAAUACGUAGGGGGCGAGCGUUAUCCGGAUUCACUGGGUGUAAAGGGAGCGUAGACGGCCAUGCAAGCCAGGGGUGAAAGCCCGGGGCCCAACCCCGGGACUGCCCUUGGAACUGUGCGGCUAGAGUGCGGGAGGGGCAGGCGGAAUUCCUGGGGUAGCGGUGAAAUGCGUAGAUAUCAGGAGGAACACCGGCGGCGAAGGCGGCCUGCUGGACUGCGACUGACGUUGAGGCUCGAAAGCGUGGGGAGCGAACAGGAUUAGAUACCCGGGUAGUC
Molecule: ribosomal RNA, 441 nt
Filed under: uncultured bacterium
Lineage: Bacteria
Description: partial 16S ribosomal RNA
Rfam family: Bacterial small subunit ribosomal RNA
Source: RNAcentral